GUUUUCUUUCCAGCCAUCCUAAAAAAAAUGGACGCCCUGUGCUUGUUCUUCAGUCCAGUGGCUAUUUAUUGAAAACAGAAGUAUUGACAUAAGCAGGUUUUGCUGGAAUUAACAAAAUCUGGAUCAAGCUAUCUGAAAGCAUUUCAUGUCUUCCAUUGAAUCACACGAGGAGAAAAGAUGAAAAGAAGGAACAGGAAGACGUAAAGAACGAAAGACUUUACAUGAAGCCAAGUGACCAUCCGUGUAGGUGUCCGAAGUCCCAAGCUUCUGAGUGCCCUAGGAAUAAGGAUCCAACACUGAAAGUAAAACUGAAGAUUAAGCACAGGUCUUAGACCUGCACCCAGCCAGCUACUUCCUGAUGCUGUUUAUCCAAAACACCACCUGCUGUCAAGGGCAGUUCUGGCAGUUUGAAAUGUCUCUGUGUCCAUGAAGCAGCCAUACCUGUUAGGUUUAAUUUCUGCAAUGAAUUACCCAGUGUAUGUAAUUCAAAACUCAUUCUUCUUUCCUGCCCUCCUACCACCACCAGUCAUCUCUUUUCAUCUGUGAAAGCAGUGAUGGAAUUAGGUUGCUAAGAACCUGGAAGGUUUGCUUUCUCUGUACCAAAUUUAACAUAAUAUAUGCA
RNAcentral lists this long non-coding RNA (622 nucleotides) under Numida meleagris (helmeted guineafowl). RNAcentral's name for it is "lncRNA (ENSNMEG00000006200.1)". The record is from RNAcentral. Lineage: Eukaryota; Metazoa; Chordata; Aves; Galliformes; Numididae.